GCCCUAGUGGCACAACAUUUAAGAGUGCUUGGCUGUUAACCGAGAGGUUGGUGGUUCAAACCCACCCUGUGGCU
This 74-nucleotide transfer RNA is filed under the name Loxodonta africana (African savanna elephant). It matches the Rfam family "tRNA". Rfam says of the family: Transfer RNA (tRNA) molecules are approximately 80 nucleotides in length. Their secondary structure includes four short double-helical elements and three loops (D, anti-codon, and T loops). The record is from Rfam by way of RNAcentral. Lineage: Eukaryota; Metazoa; Chordata; Mammalia; Proboscidea; Elephantidae.